Molecule: long non-coding RNA, 2163 nt
Organism: Eublepharis macularius
Lineage: Eukaryota; Metazoa; Chordata; Lepidosauria; Squamata; Eublepharidae
Exons: 3
Source: RefSeq, a predicted model, not a curated record
ACCUGGUUUUUCUCACCUCCGUUUCAUCCUCAGAGCCAACACGAGAAUUAAGUAAGGCUGAGAAAUACUCCAUGAGGAGGACUGGCCGAGGGAGGAUUUGAACCCGGGAUUCGCUUCCCAGUCCAAUCCAAUCAUUUCACUUUUCUGGGCCACAAUCAAAGCCGUGGCAAUGCAUUGCUCAGGCUGUACAACUUCAGGAAGCAGUGUUUGAUAUUCACUCCCCAUCAAAGAAAAUUCUCUGCAGUGAGAAAAAACCGGCCACCAGGAUUUUGGGCUAGGGUGAAGAAUUCCAUGGUACAGCAAGGAAAGUGGAACUCAAACACAGCCUUGCUUCGCAUAAACUGUAUGACCUCAUAUUCCAUUCUUGAUGACUGUGCCACUCUGUGUUCUUCUGGCUUGGCAGAAAUUGGAAGAGGCACAGGGUUUGUGCUUUUAAGUUACCGCUGUCCGUGGAUAUUCUUGUAUAAAUAGGAAAAUAAGCAGCUCCUUGCCCGGGAAUGACAAACAACAUCUCUGGAGCUCUGCAGGGAUACGUCGGAGGAGGUCAGAGAACACAACUCCUUUUCUGCUCGUCCUGGGCUCCGCUUUCAAAACACUCGGAGAACGUCACGCUGCGUGCCAGAGAGUUCUCAGGCCUGGCCCGAACCUUUAUCAACAGAAGCUUUUGAGGAUUUGGUGCACUGCUCCUUGAAGGCUGCUGUGGGGGCGGGGGGAGGAAAAGAGAAAGUCUGUAAUCUCUCCCCUCUAGAGUCGUGAUAGGAAUGGUAUGCAGUCUUGUUAAGAAUGCUCUCUUAGCUUGGCACUCGGCCACAGCUGGACACCGCAAGGAAUGCAAGAAUCCUCCUCCCCUAGCAGCACGAGCUGGCAAUGAUGCUCUGCUCUGGGUCUCUCCACACAUCCUGCCAUUACAGCAGGACUAGGGGCUUUGAUUCAGCCCCCUAACUCAUUUGCAGUGCUCUGGCUGUGCCUUGGUAUAAUUAAAGUCAUAACUAGAGGUGGGCACGGACCGGGAAAAAGGCGGUUUGUGGUUCGUUGCAUUUCACGAACCGGCAUGAAAUUGUCCGGUUCGCAAACCGGUCCGUUUGGUUCAUGAAUAAAUCACUUCCGGCGCAGCAGAAAGUCUGCAGAACCCCCUCCCCACGAUUGCCUAGGAAACUGAUUGAUCGGCGCCAGGCUGUCUGCAGCGACUAACCGAAAAACUAACUGGCCUAAAAAUCGUUGUGGUUCAUCGUGGUUCGAUAGACAAACCGCCUGUUCGCGAACCAAAAAACAGCUCAGUUCAUGAUGAACUUUGGUUCAUAUUUCGGUUCGUGCCCACCUCUAGUCAUGACUGUAAGACAGCUGAGAGCCAGCACAGGCCCUCAGGCAAAGAUUCCUUCUGAUUCUCACACCAUCCAGAUCCAAUCCAAACGGCACAUUACUUGCUGUUAAGCAUGACAUCUCAGCCUUCCUACAAGGAAUUCAAAUUAGCCUACAUGACUGGACCGUUUCAAUAUCCUCUACAUGGGGCUGCCCCUUGAAGAUGCUUCAGAAGUUUCACUAGUUCAUGAAAGGUGGCAGCCAGCAUCUUGUGCCAAACAAACAGAUAUAAAACUGGUAUUGCUCCAACCUCCAGCGGCACUUUAGCCAAUUAAAAUUAGGGUUAGGAUCCUUGAAUUGGAUGUAGAUCGAGUGGAGUUAGCUGUGUUAGUCUUUAGUUGCAAAAUAGUAAAGAGCCCAAUAGCACCUUUAAGAUUAACCAACUUUAUUGUAGCAUAAGCUUUCGAGAACCACAGCUCUUUGCCACCUGAUGAAGAGAGCUGUGGUUCUCAAAAGCUUAUGCUAAAAUCUUAAAGGUGCUACUGGACUCUUUACUAUACUGAAUUGGAUGUGGAAGCAAGCAAAAUAAUCUGAAGGACUGCCGAGUUACAUUUUCAGAUCUAAGGAGGUGGCCUUCCUGGGACCUGCCCGAUCUGAAGUGGGCAGACCCAGGUUCGAAUCCCCGCUCUGCCACGGAAGCUUGAUGGGUGACCUUGGGCCAGUCACACACUCUGAGCCUAACCUACCUCACAGGGUUGUUGUGAGGAUAAAAUGGAGGAGAGGAGAACAUUGUAAGCUGCUUUGGAUCCCCACUGGAGAGAAAGACAGGGUAAAAAUGAAAUAAAUAAAUCUCAACCCUCAACC